Drosophila gunungcola (fruit fly) is the source of this 825-nucleotide long non-coding RNA. RefSeq lists it as uncharacterized. NCBI's taxonomy places the organism in Eukaryota, Metazoa, Arthropoda, Insecta, Diptera, Drosophilidae. The record is from RefSeq and is a predicted model, not a curated record. The transcript has 3 exons.
UUUAAAGCAUCCUCUCGAGUUGGCAGCAUGCGCCCAUUGAAAUCUGUAGGAUGCCCUAAAAUGUUCAAUGUAAGAUUUCUUCGACAUACACUCAUGUCGAUGUGGAUAAAUGCAGAUAAACAGCUUUACUACGAUUCACUUGUGAACUAUUUGAGAUACACAAACAAAACAACUGUAGAACAACAGGUCUACAUACACACUUUUUUACGUUGACACGCAGAAGUUAGUAUUGGGCCCUAACGAUUCACACAAAUAAAUCUAAGGUGGCGAAGAGAUGCAAAUUUCAAAUUAUAAUUCUCGAGAAAUAAAUGUAAAGAACACGCAAUCUUUCGACAUUAACUUUCAACAAGGUGAAAGUUCUCUAGAAUAGGUAUAGGUUUGACAGCAAUUCAUACAUAUUUUAGUGUCUGAGAUACCACUUUUGACUAGUAAAAGUUGGAAAUAUACGGAAGACAUCGUCGCACAGCAAUCGGAUUUUGAACACGUAUUCUGGACAUGUUUAAGCCCUAUUAGCGUUUCAAAGUCGAAAAAAAAUUUUUAAUGACCCGCCCUAAUGCACAAACUGUCAGGAGUAUGGAAACACCAGGACAUACUGCUCACUCCGAUCAUUCUGUGUAGUUUGUGGGACUUUCACAAAGAAGACCCCCAAAAGAAGAAAUGUGGAAACUGAGGAGGAAAUCACACUGCUAAAUACAGGACCUGUGUGGUCUACAAGAAAUUGAAAAACCGCAUGCGACGAGUGACAAACACGCGCUAUCAAAAUCCUCAAAACGUGUACACUUUACAAACACUUAUUCAAAACCAGAACAUAGUGUUACGGUUGCU